RNAcentral lists this ribosomal RNA (250 nucleotides) under uncultured Bradyrhizobiaceae bacterium. RNAcentral's name for it is "partial 16S ribosomal RNA". It matches the Rfam family "Bacterial small subunit ribosomal RNA", at positions 63 to 339 of the family's 1533-position model. Lineage: Bacteria; Pseudomonadati; Pseudomonadota; Alphaproteobacteria; Hyphomicrobiales; Nitrobacteraceae. The record is from RNAcentral.
CGAGCGGGCGUAGCAAUACGUCAGCGGCAGACGGGUGAGUAACGCGUGGGAACGUACCUUUUGGUUCGGAACAACACAGGGAAACUUGUGCUAAUACCGGAUAAGCCCUUACGGGGAAAGAUUUAUCGCCGAAAGAUCGGCCCGCGUCUGAUUAGCUAGUUGGUGAGGUAAUGGCUCACCAAGGCGACGAUACAUAGCCGACCUGAGAGGGUGAUCGGCCACACUGGGACUGAGACACGGCCCAGACUCC